RNAcentral lists this ribosomal RNA (468 nucleotides) under uncultured bacterium. RNAcentral describes it as "partial 16S ribosomal RNA". It matches the Rfam family "Bacterial small subunit ribosomal RNA", at positions 28 to 507 of the family's 1533-position model. The record is from RNAcentral.
GACGAACGCUGGCGGCGUGCUUAACACAUGCAAGUCGAACGGAAAGGCCCUGCUUUUGUGGGGUGCUCGAGUGGCGAACGGGUGAGUAACACGUGAGUAACCUGCCCUUGACUUUGGGAUAACUUCAGGAAACUGGGGCUAAUACCGGAUAGGAGCUCCUGCUGCAUGGUGGGGGUUGGAAAGUUUCGGCUGUUGGGGAUGGACUCGCGGCUUAUCAGCUUGUUGGUGGGGUAGUGGCUUACCAAGGCUUUGACGGGUAGCCGGCCUGGGAGGGUGACCGGGCUCAUGGCGACUAAGGUAGGGAGCAGUGUCCAACGGGAGACAGUAGGGGGAAAUCUGACACAGUGAGCGGGAGUGGGAGACAGAGGCGCCGCGUGCGGGAAGACGGCCUUCGGGUUGUAAACCGCUUUCGCCUGUGACGAAGCGGGAGUGACGGUAAUGAGUAAAGAAGCACCGGCUAACUACGUG